Molecule: ribosomal RNA, 253 nt
Filed under: uncultured bacterium
Lineage: Bacteria
Description: partial 16S ribosomal RNA
Rfam family: Bacterial small subunit ribosomal RNA
Source: RNAcentral
UACGUAGGCAGCGAGCGUUGUUCGGAAUUACUGGGCGUAAAGAGUGUGUAGGCGGUGCUCUAAGUUCGGUGUGAAAUCUCCUGGCUCAACUGGGAGGGUGCGCCGGAAACUGGAGUGCUUGAGCGUGGGAGAGGAAAGCGGAAUUCCUGGUGUAGCGGUGAAAUGCGUAGAUAUCGGGAGGAACACCAGUGGCGAAGGCGGCCUUCUGGCUCGAUACUGACGCUGUAGCGCGAAAGCGUGGGGAGCGAACGGG